ACAGAACAAGAGGCUUUGAAGAUGGAUCAGUUUCUGCCUCAGCAAAAUAGUAAAAGAGAGACUUGUGUUUCUUGUCAUCAACUGUGACAUAUCCUGAGAACUGUUGAAAGCUUACGUGGGGUUGGCCGGGAAGCAAAGCAAUUGUGUCUGCAUGAGAAGGGAGACAAAACACUUCCAAUGAAAAACUCAGGUGAAGCAACACCGCAGCUAGUGCCAUGGUGGUGUUGGACUUGGACUUCCAUGUUGGCCACUUCAUGGUUUCACAAAAUGGGGAGAGGAGGACUAACAAAGAGAAAGAGUGAAAGGAUGCUGUAUUUAAAGUGUUUACCUAGUGAGAACAUGAAUCUCAACAUGAGAAAGAAACGCCAGCCUGAAAAAUGGUGAUGAAAGAGAUGUGACAGAGGCAAUGACCACGGUGUGCCGGGUCUUUCUAUACGCAGUGGCAAAAAGAUAAUUAUGAAAAAGGGUUGGGAAUGGUUUUUAUGCUGAGUCAGCUCAAGUUUUUCUGCCAGGAAUAUGGGCUCUGCCUUGAACAAAAAAUUACAGUCUUUAAAUGAUCUUAUUUAUAUUUUGUUUCUGUUUUUUUUUUUUUUGUUUUUUUCUCUCUCGAUGGAUUAACAACAAAGACCUUGCAUCUGUAUCCAUUUUGCACUUGGGAAAAAAACAAAGAAAUUUUGUAUCCUUUUGACUGCAUGCACAGUAAUGUGUCCCUUCAAUGGAAAAUGGCUUUACAAAGGAUACUUUUCAUGCCUUAGAAA
Glycine soja is the source of this 758-nucleotide long non-coding RNA. RefSeq lists it as uncharacterized. The transcript is spliced from 2 exons. NCBI's taxonomy places the organism in Eukaryota, Viridiplantae, Streptophyta, Magnoliopsida, Fabales, Fabaceae. The record is from RefSeq and is a predicted model, not a curated record.